UGGGGAAUAUUGCACAAUGGGCGAAAGCCUGAUGCAGCAACGCCGCGUGAGUGAUGAAGGUCUUCGGAUUGUAAAGCUCUGUCUUUUGGGACGAUAAUGACGGUACCAAAGGAGGAAGCCACGGCUAACUACGUGCCAGCAGCCGCGGUAAUACGUAGGUGGCGAGCGUUGUCCGGAUUUACUGGGCGUAAAGGGUGCGUAGGCGGAUGUUUAAGUGAGAUGUGAAAUACCCGGGCUUAACUUGGGUGCUGCAUUUCAAACUGGAUAUCUAGAGUGCAGGAGAGGAGAAUGGAAUUCCUAGUGUAGCGGUGAAAUGCGCAGAGAUUAGGAAGAACACCAGUGGCGAAGGCGAUUCUCUGGACUGUAACUGACGCUGAGGCACGAAAGCGUGGGUAGCAAACAGGAUUAGAUACCCUGGUAGUCCACGCCGUAAACGAUGAGUACUAGGUGUAGGAGGUAUCGACCCCUUCUGUGCCGCAGUAAACACAUUAGGUACUCCGCCUGGGAAGUACGAUCGCAAGAUUAAAACUCUAAAGUGAAUUGACGGGGUC
Molecule: ribosomal RNA, 551 nt
Filed under: uncultured bacterium
Lineage: Bacteria
Description: partial 16S ribosomal RNA
Rfam family: Bacterial small subunit ribosomal RNA
Source: RNAcentral